Molecule: long non-coding RNA, 632 nt
Organism: Xiphophorus hellerii (green swordtail)
Lineage: Eukaryota; Metazoa; Chordata; Actinopteri; Cyprinodontiformes; Poeciliidae
Exons: 3
Source: RefSeq, a predicted model, not a curated record
GUGUUUUUACUCAGUCCUACAUACCACUGGUCUGCCUUCCUCACAUUUCAGAAAUAGACGGUUCCUCACGGCUCAGGACGAACCUGAGAGCCCAUCUUAUCACUUCAGUCUCAGUGGGUUUUUGGUGCUAAUGGCCAGAACCUGGUACUUGAAGUAGCACAGCUCGCAGCUCCAGGAGCCUCUCUCACUGAUCCAGCGGAUGAGGCAGGACUGCAACUAUUCAAAAUGGGAAAAAGAGAAGAAACCCUGUUAUAAAGGUGAGAUGUGUUUUGAACUGCAUACGUUGGAAAAAGGUACAAGUAAAUAUAUACUUGUCAGAGCAAUUGAAAAGUUAAAUCAACUGAGAUUGGGAUGAACAAGGCUCAAGGAGGGAUGUUGGGGUCAUUAACAGCAAUUGCUUAUUUUAAGGGUUUCAACAUCAGGAGUACCAGUAUUGUAAAAACUACAUGAAACAUGAACUGCUAGAUUUUUACCUUCAGGUUGGUGAUAUACAGAAAAUACAUAUUAUUUGUAGAAAACAGCCACCACAGAGUCAGUUUCUGUCCCCAGACUGUCACUCUGAUGAAUACAAUAACGAGUUUGGGAUGUGGGUAAUUAACUACCGUGAAAUAAAAUGACCAUAUUUGCAUUUC